UCUCCAUCCUCUUUUGUUUCACGGAAGAGAGAGCUGCUCAGACAUUCUGCUAAACAUCUUUUUUCUGUUUUGCAGUCAUACAGGAACAACAUGAGGGUUGUCAAGCUGGCCUGAGAGUUUGUUGGAAAAGUGUCUGAGACUUUGCCAAAGUUUGCCCUAAGUCCCAAGUGAUUAUUUUCAAUGAAAGAGACCCAUCUCAGGAGCUCAAUGAAGCAGACAGCAUGUGCCGCCAAUUCAAGCAAUCAUGACUGAACCACAAGUGUGCCGCCCGUAAAUCCAGUGUUGAUGACUGCCUGUGUAUUUUGCCAAGAGAAAGACUGGUCUCCAAAGGCAAGUCCCACUCCAGCCCCCAACCAGACGAUACCUUUUAACCACAGACCUGUAUAGUGUGUGGAUUAGGGCCGGGGCCUUACGGAUUUUCAAUAUUCAUACUCAUCAUAGUGGAAACAGCCCUCUGAGCAGUCACUGAGGAACUCAGAAACUUGGGAGAAACUUAAUAGGAGAGAUAAAUUCAGCCUUCCCAAUGUGCGUAAUGUGGAGAGUCACAUUCUUAAUGUAAGGAGGGAUAUCGUUUUUGCUUUCUUUUUGGGGAUUA
This is a long non-coding RNA of Onychostoma macrolepis, 595 nucleotides long. RefSeq lists it as uncharacterized. The record is from RefSeq and is a predicted model, not a curated record. The transcript is spliced from 3 exons. NCBI's taxonomy places the organism in Eukaryota, Metazoa, Chordata, Actinopteri, Cypriniformes, Cyprinidae.